Molecule: ribosomal RNA, 253 nt
Filed under: uncultured bacterium
Lineage: Bacteria
Description: partial 16S ribosomal RNA
Rfam family: Bacterial small subunit ribosomal RNA
Source: RNAcentral
GACGAACCGAGCGAACGUUAUUCGGAAUCACUGGGCUUAAAGGGCGCGUAGGCGGGCCGUCAAGUCGAGGGUGAAAUCCCCCAGCUCAACUGGGGAAGUGCCUCCGAUACUGGCGGUCUCGAGGGGGAUAGGGGCAUGCGGAACUUCCGGUGGAGCGGUGAAAUGCGUAGAUAUCUGGAGGAACACCGGUGGCGAAGGCGGCAUCCUGGACCGGCAUUGACGCUGAGGAGCGAAAGCCAGGGGAGCAAACGGG